RNAcentral lists this ribosomal RNA (533 nucleotides) under Phomopsis sp. CLF-C. Its description in RNAcentral is "eukaryotic LSU rRNA". The stretch from base 281 to 533 matches the Rfam family "Eukaryotic large subunit ribosomal RNA", at positions 1 to 252 of the family's 3401-position model. The record is from RNAcentral. Lineage: Eukaryota; Fungi; Ascomycota; Sordariomycetes; Diaporthales; Diaporthaceae.
AUGAAGAACGCAGCGAAAUGCGAUAAGUAAUGUGAAUUGCAGAAUUCAGUGAAUCAUCGAAUCUUUGAACGCACAUUGCGCCCUCUGGUAUUCCGGAGGGCAUGCCUGUUCGAGCGUCAUUUCAACCCUCAAGCAUUGCUUGGUGUUGGGGCACUGCCUGUAAAAGGGCAGGCCCUGAAAUCUAGUGGCGAGCUCGCCAGGACCCCGAGCGCAGUAGUUAAACCCUCGCUCUGGAAGGCCCUGCGGUGCCCUGCCGUUAAACCCCCAACUUCUGAAAAUUUGACCUCGGAUCAGGUAGGAAUACCCGCAUGAACUUAAGCAUAUCAAUAAGCGGAGGAAAAGAAACCAACAGGGAUUGCCCUAGUAACGGCGAGUGAACCGACAACAGCUCAAAUUUGAAAUCAUCCUCGGCCCGAGUUGUAAUUUGCAUAGGAUGCUUCUGGCCUGGUGCCUUCCGAGUUCCCUGGAACGGAUACGCCACAGAGGGUGAGAGCCACCGUAUGGUCUGGCACACCUAAGUACCUGUGUGAAGC